Molecule: ribosomal RNA, 254 nt
Filed under: uncultured bacterium
Lineage: Bacteria
Description: partial 16S ribosomal RNA
Rfam family: Bacterial small subunit ribosomal RNA
Source: RNAcentral
UACGAAGGGGGCUAGCGUUGCUCGGAUUGACUGGGCGUAAAGGGCGCGUAGGCGGUCAGCACAAGUCAGUUGUGAAAUCUCCGGGCUUAACUCGGAAAGGUCAACUGAUACUGUGCGACUAGAGUGCAGAAGGGGCAACUGGAAUUCUCGGUGUAGCGGUGAAAUGCGUAGAGAUCGGGAGGAACAUCUGUGGCGAAGGCGGCCAUCUGGACCAGCACUGACACUGAGGCACGAAAGCGUGGGGAGCAAACAGG